CAACCCUCAAGCCUAGCUUGGUGUUGGGGCAUUACCUGAACUGUUUCUUACAGGAGGGUAAGCCCUGAAAUUCAGUGGCGAGCUCGCCAGGACUCCGAGCGCAGUAGUAAAACCCUCGCUCUGGAUCGUACUGGCGCGGCCCUGCCGUAAAACCCCCAACUUCUGAAA
Molecule: unclassified non-coding RNA, 168 nt
Filed under: uncultured Cytospora
Lineage: Eukaryota; Fungi; Ascomycota; Sordariomycetes; Diaporthales; Cytosporaceae
Description: sequence contains ITS2
Source: RNAcentral